RNAcentral lists this ribosomal RNA (406 nucleotides) under uncultured bacterium. RNAcentral's name for it is "partial 16S ribosomal RNA". It matches the Rfam family "Bacterial small subunit ribosomal RNA", at positions 30 to 526 of the family's 1533-position model. The record is from RNAcentral.
AUUGAACGCUGGCGGCAGGCUUAACACAUGCAAGUCGAGCGAGCGGCGGACGGGUGAGUAAUGUCUGGGAAACUGCCUGAUGGAGGGGGAUAACUACUGGUAACGGUAGCUAAUACCGCAUACCAUCAGAUGUGCCCAGAUGGGAUUAGCUAGUAGGUGGGGUAAAGGCUCACCUAGGCGACGAUCCCUAGCUGGUCUGAGAGGGUGACCGGCCACACUGGGACUGAGACACGGCCCAGACUCCUACGGGAGGCAGCAGUAGGGAAUCUUGGGCAAUGGGGGAAAGCCUGACCCAGCAACGCCGCGUGAGUGAAGAAGGCCUUCGGGUUGUAAAGUACUUUCGGCAGGGAGGCGUUACUCGCAGAAGAAGCACCGGCUAACUCCGUGCCAGCCGCCGCGGUAAUAC